This 1209-nucleotide ribosomal RNA is filed under the name Triticum aestivum (bread wheat). RNAcentral's name for it is "partial small subunit ribosomal RNA". The record is from RNAcentral. Lineage: Eukaryota; Viridiplantae; Streptophyta; Magnoliopsida; Poales; Poaceae.
AUGGCGCGGCCACCCCUGCUGGACCCCUGCCCGGCAUCCCCAUGGCGGACAGGCGGUGGCGGCACGUCGUCGUCGUCGCUGUCGUCGAGGACGAUGAUGCCUCCCUCGUCCCGGCCACGGCGACGAGCUUCGAACCGCGCGAAGGCGGCGCACUGGCGCUCCCUCUCCGUCUGCACCCAGUCGUCGCGCGCCCAUUUGAGGGCCGCUUCAUCAUCGAGCGCCUCCUCCUUGACGGGCUCCGUCUUCGCGACGGGGAGCCCCGGCUCCGGCUUGACGGCGGCGAUCCCCGGCUCCGGCUUGACGAAACAUGGAGGAGCCGAGGAGGUGGCACGCCAGCCGCCCUCGUUGAUGACGAUGCCGGUGCUGCGGGUGCGCCGGCCGAGCGGCGUCUCCGCGGCGGGCUCUGCCUUGACGCCGAAGUGCGCCGCCGAGCCGGAAGAGUGGGAGGAGGAGCAGGAGGAGGAGGAGCCGGCGAACCUCCUCGGCACCCACGGCCCGGCGCUCCGGCAGGGGGCCGGCACGGCCGCCGCGGCGGGGUACGCCAGCGGCGGGUUGUUGCCGCCCUCGAGGUGUGCUAUCACCUCGUGUAGGGUGCGGCCGGGGACGCCCCACCAGACGCGGCGGCCGUCAUUGUUCUUUGUGCCGCCGACCACCGGCGCCCCGUUCGUGGACGCCAGCCUCUGCGCCAGCCGCCGCUGGAAAUAUUCCGUCCAAACCGCGUGGUUGUCGGCGGCGUACUGGGGGAGGGCGCGCUGCUCCUCCGAUAGGGACGACCGCACGCGGCCGACAUCGGCGGCGAAGAGGCCAGGGCGCGCGUCGACGUCGGGCACUAGGGGGAUGGGGACGCCGCCGUUGCUGAGCUUCCACUCGUCGGCCCGACGCGCAUGUCCGGCGGCGCCGGGAUGUUCGCCUCGAAGAGAAGCCACGACUCGCACUCCUGGAGCGUGCGGCGGCCGAAGCCGUUGGCCGCCGCGGCGUCGCCGGGGAAGCGUUCGACCAUGGAGAGAAGAAGGGGAAGGGGAGGGAAGGGGAGAGCGGCAGAGCUCGAUGGCGAAAGGGAGGGACGGCGGCUGGUUUGGGCUCGGCGGACUCGGGCUGAUGUGGCCAGCGGCGAGGGAAGCCUCUGUUUAUAUAGCCCCAGGCCGUGUGAACGCGUGGCGGAAGGGGAGGCGUCGCCGCGCCAACCUGCCUGUGACGCGCCGCCCGUGA